RNAcentral lists this ribosomal RNA (1364 nucleotides) under Gonyaulax membranacea. Its description in RNAcentral is "LSU rRNA". It matches the Rfam family "Eukaryotic large subunit ribosomal RNA", at positions 71 to 1399 of the family's 3401-position model. The record is from RNAcentral. RNAcentral also lists the same sequence under 1 other name. Lineage: Eukaryota; Dinophyceae; Gonyaulacales; Gonyaulacaceae.
AGGAUUCCUUUAGUAAUGGCGAAUGAACAAGGAACAGCUCAAAUUGACAGUCUGAACCCAAGGUUUCGACUUGCGUGUUCUAAUUGCGUUGCCAAUGCAAGUGUGCAUGUAAGGCUUUUGGGAAAAAGCGGGAAUGAAGGUGAAACUCCUGCGCGGCAUGUGCAAUCUUUCAUGCAAGGCGUGCUCUUAAGAGUCGCGUUCCUUGGCAUUGGAGCGCAAAACGGGUGGUAAACUUCAUCCAAAGCUAAAUAUUGGGUUGAGACCGAUAGCAAACAAGUACCAUGAGGGAAUUGUGAAAAGGACUUUGGAAAGAAAGUUAGAAGUACCUGAAAUUGCUGAAAUCAAAGCAAAUGGCAUGUCUGAAGUCAAGCAAGAUUGCGGUGCGCAGCUUUCAGUCAGCUGGUGUGUAUGCUUAAGCAUCCUAGGCUGUUUCCGCGUACAGUGCGUCUUGCUUUGUAUGUCAAAACCAAGCUGCGGUGCCAAUGUUAUGAGCAUGAGGUAACUACCAUCGCUUGGUGUGAUCAUGCCCACAUCUGGCAUUUGGUUUGGUUGUUGUUGCCAGGUGGUGUGCUACGUGGAAGGCUUAUGCUUUUGGGGUGCGCUUGGCAUUUUCAUUGACCUGACGUUUCAUUUGACCCGUCUUGAAACACGGACCAAGGAGUCUAAUGCAUGUGCAAGUUUGUGGGUUUACAAUUUGGGGCAUAAUGAAAAUGACAGUCGGGAUGUGUGCACCGACAACCGACCAAUCAAUUGUGAGAGGUUUGAGUUUGAGCAUGUUGAUUAGGACCCGAAAGAUGGUGAACUAUGCUUGAGAAGAAUAAAUUCAGGGGAAACUCUGAUGGAGGCUUGCAGCGGUACUGACGUGCAAAUCGUUCGUCACACUUGGGUAUAGGGGCGAAAGACUAAUCGAACCAUCUAGUAGCUGGUUCCCUCCGAAGUUUCCCUCAGGAUAGCUGGAGCUGCAGAGUUUCAUCAGGUAAAGCGAAUGAUUAGAGGAAUUGGGGGCGCGUUGUCCUCGACCUAUUCUCAAACUUUAAAUGGGUAAGUUCCAAUGGUUGUUUUGUAAACUUUUGGGGAAAUGGAAAAUCUAUGUGGGCCAUUUUUGGUAAGCAGAAUUGGCGAUGAGGGAUGAACCUAACGUUGGGAUAAGGUGCUUUACUGCUCGCUCAUCAGAUACCAUAAAAGGUGUUGGUUCAUUUAAACAGCAGGACGGUGGUCAUGGAAGUCGAAAUCCGCUAAGGAGUGUGUAACAACUCACCUGCCGAAUGGACUAGCCCUGAAAAUGGAUGGCGCUCAAGCGGGUGACCAAUACCUAACCGCUGUGGAACAUGUUUAUCAACAGUGAGUAGGGGGGUUCAAUAGCU